RNAcentral lists this ribosomal RNA (776 nucleotides) under Rhabdoblatta incisa. RNAcentral's name for it is "12S ribosomal RNA". Lineage: Eukaryota; Metazoa; Arthropoda; Insecta; Blattodea; Blaberidae. The record is from RNAcentral.
AGUAAGUUUUAUUCUUGCUUAUAUAUUUAUUAUGAAUCAGUGUUAUAUGCAAUUAUUAUUAUAUUUAUUCUGAAUGAUAAUUAUAAUUUAAUAGCAGUAGUAAAUUUUAGUAAUUGAAGAAAUUUUGAUUUAGCUAUAUUCAUUAAGUAUUGAUUAAAUAUGUGCCAGCAAUCGCGGUUAUACAUAAAAUAUAAGUAAAUAUUUUUAGUUUAUUAGUUAUUAAAUUAUAUUUAAUUUAUUUUAAUUAAUUUUAGGUGAAAUUUAAUUAUUUUUUUUUGAUUAAUUAUUUAUGUGAGAGGCUAUGAAAUCCUUUAUAAUAAACUAGGAUUAGAUACCCUAUUAUUAAGGAAUUAAAUUUUUAAACUUGAGUAGUAUUAGUUAUGGUCUUGAAACUUAAAGAAUUUGGCGGUAUCUUAGUCUAUUUAGAGGAAUCUGUUCCAUUAUCGAUAUUCCGCGUUGGACCUUACUUGAUUUAAUUAUUUGUAUACCGCCGUUUAUUUGAAGAUCUUAUUAGGGAAAAAUUUUCUUAAUAUUUAAUUUUAUUAUAUUUCAGGUCAAGGUGCAGUUUUAUAAUUAAGUGGAAAUGGAUUACAAUAUAUUUAUAAAUGAAUUAUUAAAUGAAAAUUUUAUAUGAAGGUGGAUUUAAUAGUAAUUUUGAUAAGAAUUAUUAUUAUGAUUUUAGCUCUAAGAUGUGCACACAUCGCCCGUCGCUCUCAUUAUUAAGGUGAGAUAAGUCGUAACAUAGUAGGUGUACCGGAAGGUGCAGCUAGAAAGAU